Molecule: ribosomal RNA, 245 nt
Filed under: uncultured Lachnospiraceae bacterium
Lineage: Bacteria; Bacillati; Bacillota; Clostridia; Lachnospirales; Lachnospiraceae
Description: partial 16S ribosomal RNA
Rfam family: Bacterial small subunit ribosomal RNA
Source: RNAcentral
UACGUAGGGGGCAAGCGUUAUCCGGAUUUACUGGGUGUAAAGGGAGCGCAGACGGCCAGGCAAGUCUGAUGUGAAAGGCAGGGGCUCAACCCCUGGACUGCAUUGGAAACUGUUUAGCUGGAGUACCGGAGGGGUAAGCGGAAUUCCUAGUGUAGCGGUGAAAUGCGUAGAUAUUAGGAGGAACACCAGUGGCGAAGGCGGCUUACUGGACGGUAACUGACGUUGAGGCUCGAAGGCGUGGGGAG